AACGCACGAGACCUGCGGACCUGCGGAGGGAUCAUUCAUAAUAAGUGUUUUAUGGCACUUUAAUCCCAUAUCCACCUUGUGUGCAACGUCGGCCGUUGUGUCUUCUUCGUCAGAAGAGGACCACGACCACAAAUCAACCUAAUAUUGUCAAUGAUAUCGUCUGAAAUCUGUAUGAAUAAACAAAUUCAAAAUACAACUUUUAACAAUGGAUCUCU
RNAcentral lists this unclassified non-coding RNA (215 nucleotides) under soil metagenome. RNAcentral's name for it is "partial contains 5.8S ribosomal RNA, internal transcribed spacer 2, and large subunit ribosomal RNA". The record is from RNAcentral.